CCUACGGGAGGCAGCAGUGAGGAAUAUUGGUCAAUGGACGGAAGUCUGAACCAGCCAAGUAGCGUGCAGGAUGACGGCCCUAUGGGUUGUAAACUGCUUUUAUGCGGGGGUAAAGUGAGUGACGUGUCAUUCAUUGCAAGUACCGCAAGAAUAAGGACCGGCUAAUUCCGUGCCAGCAGCCGCGGUAAUACGGAAGGUCCUGGUGUUAUCCGGAUUUAUUGGGUUUAAAGGGAGCGUAGGCCGUCAGGCAAGCGUGUUGUGAAAUGUCGUGGCUCAACCAUGGACUUGCAGCGCGAACUGCCCGACUUGAGUGCGCAGAAAGCAGGCGGAAUUUGUGGUGUAGCGGUGAAAUGCUUAGAUAUCACGAAGAACCCCGAUUGCGAAGGCAGCCUGCUGUAGCGCUACUGACGCUGAAGCUCGAAAGUGCGGGUAUCGAACAGGAUUAGAUACCCUGGUAGUCCGCACGGUAAACGAUGGAUGCCCGCUGUUCGGUCUGCGGACCGAGCGGCUAAGUGAAAACGUUAAGCAUCCCACCUGGGGAGUACGCCGGCAACGGUGAAACUCAAAGGAAUUGACGG
RNAcentral lists this ribosomal RNA (578 nucleotides) under uncultured bacterium. RNAcentral describes it as "bacterial SSU rRNA". It matches the Rfam family "Bacterial small subunit ribosomal RNA", at positions 338 to 916 of the family's 1533-position model. The record is from RNAcentral.